RNAcentral lists this ribosomal RNA (776 nucleotides) under uncultured Neocallimastigales. Its description in RNAcentral is "partial large subunit ribosomal RNA". It matches the Rfam family "Eukaryotic large subunit ribosomal RNA", at positions 23 to 635 of the family's 3401-position model. Lineage: Eukaryota; Fungi; Neocallimastigomycota; Neocallimastigomycetes; Neocallimastigales. The record is from RNAcentral.
AGAGAUGUGUGAUGACGCAUAUCAAUAAGCGGAGGAAAAGAAACUAACAAGGAUUCCCUUAGUAACGGCGAGUGAAGCGGGAAGAGCUCAAAUUUGAAAUCUUCAAGGUUCUACCUUGACGAAUUGUAGUUUAAAGAAGUGUUUUCUGUUAGUGGAGUGGCAAAAGUUCUUUGGAAUAGGACAUCAUAGAGGGUGAGAAUCCCGUAUUUGGUCAUUCCUUCUAGCUUUGUGAUACACUUUCAAAGAGUCGGAUUGUUUGGGAAUGCAGUCCAAAAUGGGUGGUAAAUUUCAUCUAAAGCUAAAUAUUGGCGAGAGACCGAUAGCGAACAAGUACCGUGAGGGAAAGAUGAAAAGAACUUUGAAAAGAGAGUUAAACAGUACGUGAAAUUGUCAAAAGGGAAGCGUUUGACACCAGUGUUGUUUUUCCGAAAAUCAAUUACGAAUGCUUUUGUUUUUAAGGAGUUAUGACUUCAUCGGCUUGCUUCUCUCUUUACUGAAACUUUCUUAAUGCACUUUUCGGUUAACAAGUCAACAUCAAUUUCUUUUGUUGUAAAAGGGUAUGAGGAAGGUGGCUUUCUUUUCGGAGAAAGUGUUUAUAGCCUUGUACCUCUGCAAUCGGAGAGAUUGAGGUCUGCAGCGUAGAUCCUUCGGGGUUAGAUACAUUUGUGCUAAGUUAUAGCUUUUCAUAGACAACUUGUUGACUAUGUUAAGUCUUGUAGCUUACUCGCUUAUGCUAUUUUACCUACGCUUAGGAUGUUGACAGCAGUAUAGACUGU